RNAcentral lists this ribosomal RNA (253 nucleotides) under uncultured bacterium. RNAcentral describes it as "partial 16S ribosomal RNA". It matches the Rfam family "Bacterial small subunit ribosomal RNA", at positions 524 to 776 of the family's 1533-position model. The record is from RNAcentral.
UACGUAGGUGGCAAGCGUUGUCCGGAUUUAUUGGGUUUAAAGGGUGCGUAGGCGGCUUAUUAAGUCAGUGGUGAAAUAUCGCAGCUCAACUGUGAGGGUGCCAUUGAUACUGAUGAGCUUGAGUGAAGUCGAGGUAGGCGGAAUUGACGGUGUAGCGGUGAAAUGCUUAGAUAUCGUCAAGAACACCGAUAGUGAAGACAGCUUACUAGACUUCAACUGACGCUGAGGCACGAAAGUGUGGGGAUCAAACAGG